CCUACGGGUGGCAGCAGUGAGGAAUAUUGGUCAAUGGCCGGAAGGCUGAACCAGCCAUGCCGCGUGAAGGUCAGUGCCCUAUGGGCGUUAAACUUCUUUUGUGCGGGAGCAAUAAUGGUCACGUGUGGCCAGACGAGAGUACCGUACGAAUAAGCAUCCGCUAACUCCGUGCCAGCAGCCGCGGUAAUACGGGGGAUGCAAGCGUUAUACGGAUUUAUUGGGUUUAAAGGGUGCGUAGGCUGUGAGGUAAGUCAGCGGUGAAAUGCCCCCGCUCAACGGGGUGAAGUGCCAUUGAUACUGGCUGGCUGGAAUGCGGAUGCGGUGGGAGGAAUGUGUGGUGUAGCGGUGAAAUGCAUAGAUAUCACACAGAACACCGAUUGCGAAGGCAUCUCACGAAUCCGCGAUUGACGCUGAUGCACGAAAGCGUGGGUAUCAAACAGGAUUAGAUACCCGGGUAGUC
RNAcentral lists this ribosomal RNA (460 nucleotides) under uncultured bacterium. RNAcentral describes it as "partial 16S ribosomal RNA". It matches the Rfam family "Bacterial small subunit ribosomal RNA", at positions 338 to 795 of the family's 1533-position model. The record is from RNAcentral.